GACGAACGCUGGCGGCGUGCUUAACACAUGCAAGUCGAACGGUGAAGGGACCGGUUUUUGCUGGUUCUGGAUGAGUGGCGAACGGGUGAGUAACACGUGAGUAACCUGCCCCCUUCUUCUGGAUAACCGCAUGAAAGUGUGGCUAAUACGGGAUAUUCUGCGCCUGCUGCAUGGUGGGUGUGGGAAAGAUAUUGUUUCGGUGGGGGAUGGGCUCGCGGCCUAUCAGCUUGUUGGUGGGGUGAUGGCCUACCAAGGCGGUGACGGGUAGCCGGCCUGAGAGGGUGGACGGUCACACUGGGACUGAGACACGGCCCAGACUCCUACGGGAGGCAGCAGUGGGGAAUAUUGCACAAUGGGCGCAAGCCUGAUGCAGCGACGCCGCGUGAGGGAUGGAGGCCUUCGGGUUGUAAACCUCUUUCGCCAGUGAAGCAGGCCUGUCCCUUUUGUGGGUGAGUUGACGGUAGCUGGAUAAGAAGCGCCGGCUAACUACGUG
Molecule: ribosomal RNA, 493 nt
Filed under: uncultured bacterium
Lineage: Bacteria
Description: partial 16S ribosomal RNA
Rfam family: Bacterial small subunit ribosomal RNA
Source: RNAcentral